This 374-nucleotide ribosomal RNA is filed under the name uncultured bacterium. RNAcentral describes it as "bacterial SSU rRNA". It matches the Rfam family "Bacterial small subunit ribosomal RNA", at positions 524 to 898 of the family's 1533-position model. The record is from RNAcentral.
UACGUAGGGUGCGAGCGUUAAUCGGAAUUACUGGGCGUAAAGCGUGCGCAGGCGGUGAUGUAAGACAGAUGUGAAAUCCCCGGGCUCAACCUGGGAACUGCAUUUGUGACUGCAUCGCUGGAGUGCGGCAGAGGGGGAUGGAAUUCCGCGUGUAGCAGUGAAAUGCGUAGAUAUGCGGAGGAACACCGAUGGCGAAGGCAAUCCCCUGGGCCUGCACUGACGCUCAUGCACGAAAGCGUGGGGAGCAAACAGGAUUAGAUACCCUGGUAGUCCACGCCCUAAACGAUGUCAACUGGUUGUUGGGUCUUCACUGACUCAGUAACGAAGCUAACGCGUGAAGUUGACCGCCUGGGGAGUACGGCCGCAAGGUUGAA